RNAcentral lists this long non-coding RNA (395 nucleotides) under Olea europaea subsp. europaea. The record is from RNAcentral. Lineage: Eukaryota; Viridiplantae; Streptophyta; Magnoliopsida; Lamiales; Oleaceae.
UUCUCUAUUUGAUCUUGUGUUUUCUCUGCAAAUACUUUGUGUUUUUUGUAUUUUCAGAGAAAAUUGUAGAGAAACUCUUGUGUGAGUUUGCUCUGUGGGAAGAUUGUGUUGUAUUUGUUGUUUAAGAACUCUGUAUUUUGUAACUUGAUUUUUGCCUAUUUUGGCCGGUAUAGUGAAUUCAAGCUUAAUCCUUUACGGAUGUUCAACGGGGGACUAAGCAUUAGAAGCGGUCGCUGAACCUUCGGGGCCUUUGGUCGAAAAAUCUCUUGUGUUCCUUAUUUUCUUGUUCUGUGUUUGAGAAAUAUUGAUUUUAUGCGUUGAGUAUUUUGGUUUAAACUCGAUUCUGGACCUACAGUGGUAUCAGAUCUUGGAAAUCUACUUUUAAAAUUCUAGUU